CGAACGCUGGCGGCGUGCUUACCACAUGCACGUCGAACGGCAAGGCCCUGCUUUUGUGGGGUGCUCGAGUGGCGAACGGGUGAGUAACACGUGAGUAACCUGCCCUUGACUUUGGGAUAACUUCAGGAAACUGGGGCUAAUACCGGAUAGGAGCUCCUGCUGCAUGGUGGGGGUUGGAAAGUUUCGGCGGUUGGGGAUGGACUCGCGGCUUAUCAGCUUGUUGGUGGGGUAGUGGCUUACCAAGGCUUUGACGGGUAGCCGGCCUGAGAGGGUGACCGGCCACAUUGGGACUGAGAUACGGCCCAGACUCCUACGGGAGGCAGCAGUGGGGAAUAUUGCACAAUGGGCGGAAGCCUGAUGCAGCAACGCCGCGUGCGGGAUGACGGCCUUCGGGUUGUAAACCGCUUUCGCCUGUGACGAAGCGUGAGUGACGGUAAUGGGUAAAGAAGCACCGGCUAACUACGUG
RNAcentral lists this ribosomal RNA (466 nucleotides) under uncultured bacterium. Its description in RNAcentral is "partial 16S ribosomal RNA". It matches the Rfam family "Bacterial small subunit ribosomal RNA", at positions 30 to 507 of the family's 1533-position model. The record is from RNAcentral.